CAGGGAAGAAGCGNAAANNGACGGUACCUGCAGAAAAAGCGCCGGCUAACUACGUGCCAGCAGCCGCGGUAAUACGUAGGGCGCAAGCGUUAUCCGGAAUUAUUGGGCGUAAAGAGCUCGUAGGCGGUUUGUCGCGUCUGCUGUGAAAUCCCGAGGCUCAACCUCGGGUCUGCAGUGGGUACGGGCAGACUAGAGUGCGGUAGGGGAGAUUGGAAUUCCUGGUGUAGCGGUGGAAUGCGCAGAUAUCAGGAGGAACACCGAUGGCGAAGGCAGAUCUCUGGGCCGUAACUGACGCUGAGGAGCGAAAGGGUGGGGAGCAAACAGGCUUAGAUACCCUGGUAGUCCACCCCGUAAACGUUGGGAACUAGUUGUGGGGUCCAUUCCACGGAUUCCGUGACGCAGCUAACGCAUUAAGUUCCCCGCCUGGGGAGUACGGCCGCAAGGCUAAAACUCAAAGGAAUUGACGGGGACCCGCACAAGCGGCGGAGCAUGCGGAUUAAUUCGAUGCAACGCGAAGAACCUUACCAAGGCUUGACAUAUACGAGAACGGGCCAGAAAUGGUCAACUCUUUGGACACUCGUAAACAGGUGGUGCAUGGUUGUCGUCAGCUCGUGUCGUGAGAUGUUGGGUUAAGUCCCGCAACGAGCGCAACCCUCGUUCUAUGUUGCCAGCACGUAAUGGUGGGAACUCAUGGGAUACUGCCGGGGUCAACUCGGAGGAAGGUGGGGAUGACGUCAAAUCAUCAUGCCCCUUAUGUCUUGGGCUUCACGCAUGCUACAAUGGCCGGUACAAAGGGCUGCAAUACCGUAAGGUGGAGCGAAUCCCAAAAAGCCGGUCCCAGUUCGGAUUGAGGUCUGCAACUCGACCUCAUGAAGUCGGAGUCGCUAGUAAUCGCAGAUCAGCAACGCUGCGGUGAAUACGUUCCCGGGUCUUGUACACACCGCCCGUCAAGUCAUGAAAGUCGGUAACACCUGAAGCCGGUGGCCCAACCC
RNAcentral lists this ribosomal RNA (992 nucleotides) under Microbacterium flavum. RNAcentral's name for it is "bacterial SSU rRNA". It matches the Rfam family "Bacterial small subunit ribosomal RNA", at positions 440 to 1441 of the family's 1533-position model. The record is from RNAcentral. Lineage: Bacteria; Bacillati; Actinomycetota; Actinomycetes; Micrococcales; Microbacteriaceae.